UCACGCUGUAAUCCCAGCACUUCGGGAGGCCGAGGUGGCUGGAUCGCCUGAGGUCAGGAGUUCAAGACCAGCCUGGCCAAUAUGGUGAAACCCCGUCUCUACUAAAAAUACAAAAAAUUAGCUGGGCAUGAUGGUGGGGCCUGUAAUCCCAGCUACUCGGGAGGCCGAGGCAGGAGAAUCGCUUGGACCCGGGAGGUGGAGGUUGCAGUGAGCAGAGAUCGCACCACUGCACUCCAGCCUGGGUGAGAGUGAAACCCUGUCUCAAAAAAAAAAGAGACAUUUGUAUUAGAUCUUUGAACUGUUUCCAGCUGGCGUCUUAGAAACGUUACUCAACCCAGACAGACAGACGGAACCCUCUCCAGGGUAGAGCGCGCACCCCGCUGGGACCUGGAACAGAAGGAACAGAAGGGCCUGUGGGUGGAGGGUGAGGCGGGCAGGGGACGACCCGCCCUGAGCUGCCUGGUCCCCGCUCCGCCCGGGCCUCUUCAGCCUCAGUUUCCUCAGCUGCAGGGAGCUGCCCGGAGAACCAGGCGCCUCCCGGUUGCUUUCGCCUCCCGCCCUGUCUCGCCGCUGCUCCGUGUUGACUGGAGACUAAACGCUGCGUUCAGCUCCUUUCCCGCGAGCAGCAGCAGCCGACUCUCCGCCCUGACCACGGGAACCACGCCAGGCAGCGGGCGGCUCCCCGCAGGGCAGGGAGGGCUGGGCCCGGCCGCUGCAGAGGGUCCCGGAGCAGGGGACGCAUGGACGACCCUCCCAGCGCCGGUGCAGCACGAGGCCCAGGCUGCCUCCGCCUUUUUUCAACUCCGAAUCCAGAGUGCAGGGAAUUGGGCUUCCACUGAGCGCAAUACGGCCACUCGUGCCCCGGCUGAAAGCAGCCAGCACCCUGGUGCACCUCGUGGGCCAGGUCAGCCCCCAGGAAGGCGCUCCCACCAGAAGGUGCACAGGGGCGGGGUCCCGGAGGGCCAGCCGUUCUACCCCCGCCACAAACAGGAGGGUCAGGGAUGGCACACCUGCUGCGCCCGGCUGGGUUCCAGCCCCGGACUGACAGCCCC
Molecule: long non-coding RNA, 1052 nt
Filed under: Piliocolobus tephrosceles (Ugandan red Colobus)
Lineage: Eukaryota; Metazoa; Chordata; Mammalia; Primates; Cercopithecidae
Description: lncRNA (ENSPTEG00000039675.1)
Source: RNAcentral